This is an RNA transcript of Cucumis melo (muskmelon), 905 nucleotides long. RefSeq lists it as uncharacterized. The transcript is spliced from 6 exons. NCBI's taxonomy places the organism in Eukaryota, Viridiplantae, Streptophyta, Magnoliopsida, Cucurbitales, Cucurbitaceae. The record is from RefSeq and is a predicted model, not a curated record.
CCUUUCGUCUCCCUUUUCUCUUCUAAAAACCCUCACCCACGCCUCCUAUUAUCUCCACAUCUGCCGCCUCUCCACACUGCUCUCUAUCUAUGCCGAUCGUUGCAACACGUUCUCAUCAUCAUAAACGCCGACGGUCGUCAUCAUCACAUAGUCCACCACUCUCUACAGUAGUUCAACGGGGAUGCAACUCUCCACGACACAAAUCUCAUGGACCCAAGGCCACCCAAACGCACAACCAUUCCUGAUGCUGGCCACACAGAUGCACGGCGACGCAAGAAGAUCGAGAGAGGAUUCUUGUUGCUCUGCAUCAACAAUGUUUAACAGGCUUUUUGGUAAACUUGAACAAGAAGCCAAUGCUUUGGCUACGUUAGAGAAGCUAAGCGAGACACUUGAAAUGGUGGAGAAGAAAGAGAAUGAUCUUGUGAAGAAGGCCGUAGCUGCAGAGGUCGAAGAAGGCAGAUCUUGUGAGUGUAGUAGCGGUAAAUGGGAUCAUACAUACAUUCAUAUGUCAUGGCUGAUUGUGUGCAUCAUCCAAAGAAAUCUUCCUCUUAAGUGUGAAAAAUUUUAUACUGAUGUGAUACAGUAGAUUGGGAACAACCUGUCAUCUUUUUUAAAUUUUCAUUCACGUUCACCCCUCGGUAAGUGUAGGUAAGGUUGUGGCUUCAAGAAUUAUUUCGUGAAACUUACUAUGAAGCUUCAUGAAGUAUUUAACACUCAAAAAGACGUAAUUAUUAAGAGUCAUAAGAUAAUUUAAUGUUUUAGAGUCCUAUAGGUAGUGAUUUUAUUUAUCUUUGUAAACUGAGAGUAGUCUGUGGAGAGACAUGAAUAGUCAUACUACUUUAUAAUAUUGUUGUAAAUUAUGUACACAUGACUUACCAUUGAAGAAUGAAAUUAUUGUUGCUUGA